AAACCCAUWCNCGUAAUGAAAGUGAACNNAGGUNAGAACCCUUAAGGGUGCAUCAUCGACCGAUCCUGAUGUCUUCGGAUGGAUUUGAGUAAGAGCAUAUUGGGUGUGACCCGAAAGAUGAUGAUCUUUACGUGAAUAGGGUGAAGCCAGAGGAAACUCUGGUGGAGGCUCGCAGCGGUUCUGACGUGCAAAUCGAUCGUCAAAUUUGCGUAAAGGGGCGAAAGACUAAUCG
This 232-nucleotide ribosomal RNA is filed under the name Myriosclerotinia curreyana. RNAcentral describes it as "partial 28S ribosomal RNA". It matches the Rfam family "Eukaryotic large subunit ribosomal RNA", at positions 704 to 937 of the family's 3401-position model. Lineage: Eukaryota; Fungi; Ascomycota; Leotiomycetes; Helotiales; Sclerotiniaceae. The record is from RNAcentral.